Molecule: ribosomal RNA, 866 nt
Filed under: uncultured bacterium
Lineage: Bacteria
Also listed under: 1 other name
Description: bacterial SSU rRNA
Rfam family: Bacterial small subunit ribosomal RNA
Source: RNAcentral
GAACGCUGGCGGCGUGCCUAAUACACGCAAGUCGAACGAAGCUUUCUUUCACCGAAUGCUUGCAUUCACCGAAAGAAGUUUAGUGGCGAACGGGUGAGUAACACGUAGGCAACCUGCCCAAAAGAGGGGGAUAACACUUGGAAACAGGUGCUAAUACCGCAUAACCAUGAACACCGCAUGAUGUUCAUGUAAAAGACGGCUUUUGCUGUCACUUUUGGAUGGGCCUGCGGCGUAUUAACUUGUUGGUGGGGUAACGGCCUACCAAGGUGAUGAUACGUAGCCGAACUGAGAGGUUGAUCGGCCACAUUGGGACUGAGACACGGCCCAAACUCCUACGGGAGGCAGCAGUAGGGAAACUUCCACAAUGGACGAAAGUCUGAUGGAGCAACGCCGCGUGAAUGAAGAAGGCCUUCGGGUCGUAAAAUUCUGUUGUCAGAGAAGAACGUGCGUGAGAGUAACUGUUCACGUAUUGACGGUAUCUGACCAGAAAGCCACGGCUAACUACGUGCCAGCAGCCGCGGUAAUACGUAGGUGGCGAGCGCUGUCCGGAUUUAUUGGGCGUAAAGGGAACGCAGGCGGUCUUUUAAGUCUGAUGUGAAAGCCUUCGGCUUAACCGAAGUAGUGCAUUGGAAACUGGAAGACUCGAGUGCAGAAGAGGAGAGUGGAACUCCAUGUGUAGCGGUGAAAUGCGUAGAUAUAUGGAAGAACACCAGUGGCGAAAGCGGCUCUCUGGUCUGUAACUGACGCUGAGGUUCGAAAGCGUGGGUAGCAAACAGGAUUAGAUACCCUGGUAGUCCACGCCGUAAACGAUGAGUGCUAAGUGUUGGAGGGUUUCCGCCCUUCAGUGCUGCAGCUAACGCAUUAAG